This is a long non-coding RNA of Rosa rugosa (rugosa rose), 2689 nucleotides long. RefSeq lists it as uncharacterized. The record is from RefSeq and is a predicted model, not a curated record. NCBI's taxonomy places the organism in Eukaryota, Viridiplantae, Streptophyta, Magnoliopsida, Rosales, Rosaceae. The transcript has 4 exons.
AACCCAUAUACUGAAAAUGCGAGCGGCAAACAAAAACAAUGCCCGGGAUCUAAUUUAUGAGUUCAAAGCGUGACCCAACUCCCGAUACUCCACCAUUUCAAAGCGUGAACAAAAUUCUUCUCUCUCUCUCUCUCGACAAAAGAUCCCAGCGACUUUCUUCAUCCAACCAAAAACCUAGAUACCUGUGACUUUCUUCAUUCUAGCGACUUCCAUGGGUAAGCUCUUCGCCAUCCAAUCAAAACCCUAUAUCUGUUUCCGGCUUCAUCCAAUAUAUACUCCACCAUUUCAAAGUUUUGAUCUUUUGGUCGACACAAAUUGGAAUCUUAUUGAUACAUUCAAGUUCAGAGAGAAUGCAAAGCAAGGCUCUACGUACGUGUCUUCGGCAAGGUUUUCCAAUCCCGAAUUCCGACUCUGUUGGUCUCAAUGUUUGCUACCUUCGCCUCAAUCUACGUCACCGGACGGUUGAUUCUUUUUGGUCUCUCAAUUUUCAGAUUUUGAUUAACCCCCAAAUUGGAAAACUGGGUUUUGAAUUUUGGGGUUGGAUGCAGGUUGUGGCAGGAUUCGGAGAACAAGGUUUAUUUGAUUAAAGAGCUUGAUAGGAUUACCGGGCAGAGGGGAUCUGUCAUAUCAAUGGAUGAUACAUUUAAAUCAUAGCUUGCAGGUAAGAUGCUAGUCAUUUGUUCUCUAGUGUAAUUCAAGAUUCGUAAUUUGAGUUGUGUGAUUCCAUAGUUUAGGUACAAAUCUAUGGUUCUUACCCGGAAAAGUAUCUUUGUUAGGGAACAACAUAAGAAGUUAUCAGUAGUUAAGAUGGAGUUCGCUGCAGCCAAUCAAGAGGGUUAGAACGUUCAACGCUGAAAAAUGGAACCAGGCCACUGGUGGUGACUGGAAUUUUUACAAAAUUUGGUUGUAAGAACAAUAGAGAUGCAAUUUGUAAGGCGUGGAUGGGAACUGGGUAUCCGAGUCUUUGACCCGACUAUUCCCUAGGUCCCCCGCCUGACCCCACAACAUUUGGGGAACUGGAAACUCUAGCAAUUGCUAGGUGGGUACCUUGGGAGAGGAUCGAACCCCAGACCACUUGGGAGCAAACCAAGGGCCUGACCGCUAGACCAACAACUCUUUGGUGUCUCUGAAUUUUUCAUAUUGGCUUCUUGUAAUUGAAGUUCAUUCCAUGUUAUUGUUAUUUUAUUUGUGUAAUGUACACAAUGCUGAUACAAGAAUCCACCCUCUGUGCCUCUAGCUGUUAUCGGUAAACCCCCAGUUAACUUCUUUGAUUGGUUCUAUUGUAUUUAUCUUGAACAUGUAUUACAAUGCAGGUAUUGGUACCCUUUUGGCAAACUGUGAUGAUCUCAAAAUAUUUCAAGACUCUGGUAUUGCUUCAGUUGCCAAGCAACUAGAUCAAGGUAUUAAAUUAGUUCUUUUAUUCCAUCUUCCAUGAAAAAAUUCAUAUUUCUAUUUUAAAGUUUUGAAUUAAUAUGCUUUAUGAUUGACGAAGGAGGCCAUAAUAAUUAUUCAUAUUCCAUCUUCAUAAUCAUUAUUCAUUAGGUGUCAAGGGUUGAGCUACUGGAUGUACUUCAAGUGAGGGCUAUCAAUAUUGCUAAUGGGAAGCAUUUGCCAGAAACACCAACUUUGAUGUUUGAGUUUAUAGGCACAGAUAAGGAAGGAAGCACUCUGGGCAUGCUUUGCAAUGGAACCUGAUUUUGAGGCAAUGAUUAUGGUUAGUUCAUAUCACUGGAUCUUGAUUAUUAUUCUGGAAUAUAUUUCCAUUUAUUAGUAGAAAAAUAAUAUGGUCAGUAGAAUGGAAGGAUCUCUAAACAUCUGCUUUCCUUCAGACAGCCUGGUGGUGCAGACAACCUGGUGGAUCCCUUAAGAAAAUAACUCAAUUCAUCAUUUGAGUGACUAAAGAGUUUAAACUGUUUUUUAUAUUAACUGAUUCUCUUCAAUUAAUAUAAUGCAUCAUUGUAAAUCCAAUGAAUGGUUUAGGGUUCUUAAAGUUACACUUUCAUGUGGUUGCUUCCUCAAGACCCUGGUAUUGCUUCAGUUGCCAAGCAACUAGAUCAAGGUAUUAAUAGCUCAUGUUUAUUGAACUGAGAAUCAAUACUAAAAUUUCAAAGGUUGCUUUCAGUUCUUAUUUCUUAAUAGCUCAUGUUUAUUGAAUAUUGUGAGUUCUGACUAAGGGUGCCUAUUGUGUAUUGUAGACUUUAGCUUGUUAUCUGUCUAUUUAGUGAACCAGAAUUACUUCAAAGUUAGAGAGAAGGGGUUAGAAUGGCAUUGUGAGAAGUAUAACAGACCAUUGUGGACAAUCACUGCGUUAGAAUGGCAUUAUGUGGUAAGUCACUUUGUCAUUAUAGCUUCUUAAUUAAAGUUAUUGUUCCUCAUUUGAUUUCUCUUUAGUCGGUUAACCAAUGGUACUGGUUUGUACAGUGUUCAAGAAAUUAGCGUGUUAUCAACCAGUGUGCUGAGUUUCAUGUCAACAAUCAAAAGAAAGCCAAAAACCAUUGUUUGUGGGUUAAUUCUAGCAGAAUUUGUAUAAUUAAUAUAUAGGGAAAAAACAUUGAGAUAUGAAGUGCUCUUGUAAUUUUAGGAAUGUCACAUUGUAUUUUGGUUACUUUUGAGAUCAUUAAUGAAAAUGAUGUAUUUUUGAUGUGAAGACUUGUUAAGUUGUUAUUGUGUUUCCAAGGUGCUGUGACAA